AAAAGGAACUGCAUUUGUUUGUUUUGAUUUGUGUGCUUGUGCAGUUGAGGAGAGUGAUUUUAUGUUUUGUUUGGUAAUUGUGUUUACCGUGUUGUAUGUUUUUUUUUAAUUAUGGAUUACGUUUGUGCAUGUGUAGCGCAUCUCCUUUAAAAAAAGCAUGUGUAGUGCAUCUUUCAACAUAUGCGCUUCAUGCAACAGAACUCCGUAGGGGUUAAAGCUCAUAUAUCGGAUGUAUCAAAUAGUACAAAAAAAACGGAGAACUCAUCAGUGCUUUGAAAACCAGAUGAAGUGUGGCGGUAUGUGUUAUCGUCGGCUAUGAAUUCUUGAUGUCGGUGUAGUAUAUACCCAAAUGAAGUUGUAAAUAUGAGAAACAGAGUGGUUCUGUAAAUAGUUAUAGUGUAAGUAGGUGAAAGCAUAUUAAUAUGUACGCACACUUGUGCAAGAUGAUGAAGCAGACAAUAAAAUGCCAUGUAGAUAUGAAACAAAGUUAGUUUUUCCAGUGUCAGUAAUUAUUGUUCGUUUGUAUUAUUUGCUAACUUACAAAAACAUGAAAAAUUCUCAAGAAAAAGCCUAUUAAUGAUAACAAUGGUCAAUGAUCGUCAAUUUGAUUCAUGAUUGACAUAGCGAGAAAGAUAGAACAUACCAUUGUGAAAGAAGGCAAUCUCUACAAAAAAAGUAAAAAAAAAUAAAUAAAAAGAAAGAAAAUAUUGCAUAAUAGAAAUUCAAAUUAACACAGAGCUUUUUGAAAAACUAUCGAGCAUCCGGUGACGGUGAGGAACAGGAGAACUGAUGGCCUGCAAGAUCUGAACAAUCUCUGCCAUUGUAGGCAAAUUUGAAGGAAUCUGAGAAGUACAGACAAGAGAAAGUUUCAGAAAAGGCAAAACCUCAUCCUCAGAGUAUUCUUCCUCCAUUAUAGGAUCAAUACACUCCAACACAUUCCCUUGUUCUAACAAAACUCGAACAUGAUCGCUUAGUAUCACAAAGCUGUCUUCACCAUACUCCAUGAGUCUCCGACCAGUCAGGAGUUCGAGUAUCAGAACUCCAAACCCGUAAACAUCGCAUUUCUCGUUGACCCUUUAGUUCUGAAACUCUAGCUCAGGCGCUACGUAACCUAAGCAUUCUGAAACCAGUUGGUGUUCAUUGUGUUCCCGUCUUGUGUUGUUAGAAGACGAGCUAGGAACUUGUUGUGCAGCUCUAGCGUCCAAAUUACACGAGGUUUUUGUGAGCUGUCGUGUCAUCGUUUUCAUUUCCUCUUUCGUCUUCUUCCACUUCAAGAUGAUCUUUACAAAAUGCUCUUCAUCUUCUUAACUUAAUUUUCCUCACCACAUGUUGCCAUCUGUUCUUGAGCUCCUCAAUUCGAACUGGUUUAAGGAGAUAGUCGCAGGCAACCAUCACAUACAUUAGAUCGCUAUGCGCAAGUAACAGUGCAAGAUAUAAUUAAAAAGAUCAAAACAUUAUAAAAAGAGAUCAAAACAUUCUAUCUUGGAAACAUGAAAAUAAUCAAACAGAAACUUAAUAGGUCAUACUAAUGACAGUUAAGUCCAUUUCAAGAUCGCUGAUCACGAGAUCAAACUUGUUCCUGUUAUCCCUCAGCAACUCCAGUGCGGUCUGUGCCUUAUUCGCUGUUGUGACUGCACAUAUAUUACCUAAAAGUCUGUCUUUAUACAGAGCAAGAUAAUCAGUCACAAAGGACAAGAUAAUCA
Brassica napus (rape) is the source of this 1703-nucleotide long non-coding RNA. RefSeq lists it as uncharacterized. The transcript is spliced from 2 exons. The record is from RefSeq and is a predicted model, not a curated record. NCBI's taxonomy places the organism in Eukaryota, Viridiplantae, Streptophyta, Magnoliopsida, Brassicales, Brassicaceae.